CCGGCGCGGUGUUUAGACUUUACUGAUGUCGUGGCGCUCUGAGGCAAAAAGUUGUUUCUCUGAGGAGCCUUAGGACUGAAGCCGAGGUUGGGUGACCCUGGCCCUUUCCUACCCACUCUUCCUUGCCCUCCUUCCCCUCUCGUGGCAGGAUGAGGCGUGCAGGCCUGGGUGAUGGAGCACCUCCUGGCGGCUAUGGGAACUAUGGUUAUGCCAAUAGUGGAUAUAAUGCUUGUGAAGAAGAGAAUGACAGACUCACUGAAAGUCUCAGAAGCAAAGUAACAGCUAUAAAAUCUCUUUCCAUUGAGAUAGGCCAUGAAGUCAAAAAUCAAAAUAAACUGUUAGCUGAAAUGGUAAAACCAUGGGAAGACUGAAGAUUUUGUCCAGAGGGAGCCAAACGAAAUUGCUAUGCUAUAUGAUGCUGUUUUCAUUGUUUGUCUUUUUUGUCAUUUAUUGGAUUAUUAAACUGAGGUGAUGCAAGUUAGUGUGGGCUUUGAAUUUAUUGCAGUUAAUGUCUUGGGGAACCACUUUGAUAACCAGCAUCUCAACAUUCCUAAUGGUCUUCUCCAUUGAAGAUUAGUAGAAUUUUCCUCUUUCAGAAAUCAUACUAUACCAUGUAAUGUUUUGAAUACUGCUCCUUACUGACUGACUCAUUAUGACUCCUAUUUUAAGGGGUAUUUAAUUUUCUUGAA
RNAcentral lists this long non-coding RNA (689 nucleotides) under Rattus norvegicus (Norway rat). Its description in RNAcentral is "long non-coding RNA NONRATT021216". The record is from RNAcentral. Lineage: Eukaryota; Metazoa; Chordata; Mammalia; Rodentia; Muridae.